This 200-nucleotide ribosomal RNA is filed under the name uncultured Glomus. RNAcentral's name for it is "partial small subunit ribosomal RNA". It matches the Rfam family "Eukaryotic small subunit ribosomal RNA", at positions 591 to 796 of the family's 1831-position model. Lineage: Eukaryota; Fungi; Glomeromycota; Glomeromycetes; Glomerales; Glomeraceae. The record is from RNAcentral.
CCAAUAGCGUAUAUUAAAGUUGUUGCAGUUAAAAAGCUCGUAGUUGAAUUUCGGGGUCAGUAGAUUGGUCAUGCCACUGGUAUGUACUGGUCUUACUGAUUCCUCCUUCCUGAUGAGCCGUAAUGCCAUUAAUUUGGUGUUGCGAGGAAUCUGGACUGUUACUUUGAAAAAAUUAGAGUGUUUAAAGCAGGCUAACGCUU